GUCUUUAAGAUUAUAUUAAUUUAAAGUNUAAUNUGCCCAAUGAAAAAUUUAAAUGGCUGCAGGAUUUUAACUGUACUAAGGUAGCAUAAUAAUUUGUUUUUUAAUUAAAAACUAGAAUGAAAGAUUUAAUGAAAUAUAAACUUUUUCAAUUAAAUUUAUAAUAAAUUUAUUAUUUGAGUAAAAAAACUUAAAUAAUUUUUAAAGACGACAAGACCCUAUAGAAUUUUAUUUUUAUUAAUUUUUUUUUUAAAAAUAAUAAAAAUUUUAUUGGGGUAAUAAAAAAAUUAAAAUAAUUUUUUUUUAAAAAAACAAUAUUUUAUGAACUAUAAAACUUAAUUUUUAAAUUAAAAAAUUAAUUACCUUAGGGAUAACAGCAUAAUUUUUUUUUAAAGAUCUUAUUAACAAAAAANAUUAU
This 415-nucleotide ribosomal RNA is filed under the name Gammabracon siamensis. RNAcentral describes it as "partial 16S ribosomal RNA". Lineage: Eukaryota; Metazoa; Arthropoda; Insecta; Hymenoptera; Braconidae. The record is from RNAcentral. RNAcentral also lists the same sequence under 1 other name.